AGUGAACGCUGGCGGUAGGCCUAACACAUGCAAGUCGAACGGCAGCACAGUAAGAGCUUGCUCUUACGGGUGGCGAGUGGCGGACGGGUGAGGAAUACAUCGGAAUCUACUUUUUCGUGGGGGAUAACGUAGGGAAACUUACGCUAAUACCGCAUACGACCUACGGGUGAAAGCAGGGGAUCUUCGGACCUUGCGCGAUUGAAUGAGCCGAUGUCGGAUUAGCUAGUUGGCGGGGUAAAGGCCCACCAAGGCGACGAUCCGUAGCUGGUCUGAGAGGAUGAUCAGCCACACUGGAACUGAGACACGGUCCAGACUCCUACGGGAGGCAGCAGUGGGGAAUAUUGGACAAUGGGCGUAAGCCUGAUCCAGCCAUACCGCGUGGGUGAAGAAGGCCUUCGGGUUGUAAAGCCCCUUUGUUGGGAAAGAAAAGCAGCAGGUUAAUACCCCGCUGUUCUGACGGUACCCAAAGAAUAAGCACCGGCUAACUUCGUG
Molecule: ribosomal RNA, 492 nt
Filed under: uncultured bacterium
Lineage: Bacteria
Description: partial 16S ribosomal RNA
Rfam family: Bacterial small subunit ribosomal RNA
Source: RNAcentral